RNAcentral lists this unclassified non-coding RNA (267 nucleotides) under Hevea brasiliensis (rubber tree). The record is from RNAcentral. Lineage: Eukaryota; Viridiplantae; Streptophyta; Magnoliopsida; Malpighiales; Euphorbiaceae.
GGAAUCGUGAGGAACAUGAUCAGGUUGAGAGACUCGGACGACGUCGUCCCAAGUGAAGCUACUGGUACUGGCUCUACUGCUUCUAGUAUUAGAAAUAAGGGCGCGAAGUGGAAAUGUCCGCGCCGUUGAGGGCAUCUUAGGAGGAGCAAUAAAGGAUUUUGAUGCGCAGAGAGAAGAAAAUGAGAAACGGAGUUUGGUUGAAAAAUGGUGGUGACGGUGAGGAAUGCAACAUUCCAUCGGAGCUGAAAACUGGACGGAGAAGAUUAU